This 72-nucleotide transfer RNA is filed under the name Camelus bactrianus (Bactrian camel). It matches the Rfam family "tRNA". Rfam says of the family: Transfer RNA (tRNA) molecules are approximately 80 nucleotides in length. Their secondary structure includes four short double-helical elements and three loops (D, anti-codon, and T loops). Further hydrogen bonds mediate the characteristic L-shaped molecular structure. tRNAs have two regions of fundamental functional importance: the anti-codon, which is responsible for specific mRNA codon recognition, and the 3' end, to which the tRNAs corresponding amino acid is attached (by aminoacyl-tRNA synthetases). tRNAs cope with the degeneracy of the genetic code in two manners: having more than one tRNA (with a specific anti-codon) for a particular amino acid; and 'wobble' base-pairing, i.e. permitting non-standard base-pairing at the 3rd anti-codon position. RNAcentral also lists the same sequence under 2 other names. Lineage: Eukaryota; Metazoa; Chordata; Mammalia; Artiodactyla; Camelidae. The record is from Rfam by way of RNAcentral.
GAGGGUGUAGCUCAGUGGUAGAGUGUGUGCUUAGCAUGCACGAGGUCCUGGGUUCAAUUCCCAGUGCCUCCA